UAAUUUUUAACUGGUCUAUUUUAAAGAAUCUAAUUAUUUACGUAAAGUACAAAUAGAAUUAUAUAUAUGUAAGUCUUUAAGAAUUUUCUUUUUCUUUCUCACUUUUAACUUUCUUUUCAAAUUUCUACAAACACCUUCUGAAAUUGUUUUAUUGCAUAGAAAGCCUGCGGCAGACGAUGCGAUUUUUCCUGCUGGAUUGCUUGCGAUCUACUGAAUUACUAGAAUUUCUGCGAGCUGUUUGGUUCAUUUCUAGCAAUUUACUAAAUCGCAAGCAAUCCAGCAGGAAAAAUCGCAUCAUCUGCCGCCGGCUUAAAAGUGUAAGUACAUACUUCCAAUUUUAUUCCUAGAAAUGUGCGUGUUAAAAUUAAAAUAAAGGACGGUUUUUUGGAAAUGGUAGAUUGACAAUCCAUUCGUGGUGAACUUUUAAGGGCUGGAAUGAACGAGUAAAAAAAAAGGGAAUGCAUUGAUCAUGUCCAAAAACGAAUGGGUACCUGCCUUUGCCACUUGAAAUCCACGAAAGAACUUGGAGAAAAAAGUAAAUUGAAUAGGAAACUUAUAAAUGAAUUGUCUCUUUUUUUGGAUCCAUCGUAAUUAUGAUUCAAUUGUAAAUAUGAGACGAGAGAUCUGGACAACUCUUUAUCAUAAAUUAUUCACAGACAAAAAGUCACAGAAUGAUAAAUGCCCGCCCGGUAAAGAUUCGUGGUGUAAAUGGCACCAGGCGAAAACCAUUAAUAUAUUAGCUGAAUUCAAGCAAAAGCCAGCUCUUUCUGAUUUUGGAUGCUAUUAAGCCAAUCUAUAAAGACUUAAGCAGUGACGAUCUUCUUGAACGUUGUUUAAGUGGCUACACACAAAGCAGUAAUGAGAGUUUCAACUUUGAUUUGGUUAAUGGCUCUAAAAACAGUUUUCAGCGGUAAAGUUAUCCUUGAUACUGCAAGUAAUAUUGCUGUUUGCAUACUCAAUGAUGGCUAUUCAAACGUUAUAAAAAUUAUGGAAGAGUUAAGCAUGACAAUUGGACCGAACUGCUACAAUUACUGCCUCGAGAAUAACGCGCGACGCAUCAAGUAUUCGGUGCGCUUGCUAACAAAUGCUGCAAAAGGGACUUGAUUAUCUCUAAAAUCGACCAAGAGGGUUAAGGAGGAGGAGAACAUCAAUAAGGAAAGCCAAUUGUAUGGUGCAGAUUAAAGAGCAAAAAUUGGAGCAGAUUUUGGUUUGGCAGUGAGGCACCUUCCGAAACGUGUGGUCAAGUUUUUUCACCGCCAUUUUGUAAUAAAACUACACAACAAAAAUUUUUUUAAUACUUUGAAAUAUGUAGAAUAAGGUACUUAAAAAAGAUUUUGCUUUACUGUUUUCGUUUUCCUGUAAAAAAUGAUCAAAAAUAGGCCUUUUUUGGAGGCUCUAGAGUGGCGUUACUCCUUAACAUAUCUGAGUUAAAGUCUAUGUAAAAAUUAUAAUUUAGCAUUGAAAAAUUUAAUUUAGUGCUUCA
Molecule: long non-coding RNA, 1483 nt
Organism: Solenopsis invicta (red fire ant)
Lineage: Eukaryota; Metazoa; Arthropoda; Insecta; Hymenoptera; Formicidae
Exons: 3
Source: RefSeq, a predicted model, not a curated record